This 115-nucleotide ribosomal RNA is filed under the name Petromyzon marinus (sea lamprey). The record is from RNAcentral. Lineage: Eukaryota; Metazoa; Chordata; Hyperoartia; Petromyzontiformes; Petromyzontidae.
GUCUAUGACCAAAUCACCCAGAUAUGCAAUCUCGUCAGAUCUCGAAAGCUAAGCAAGGUUGAGCCUGGAUAGUGCUUGGAUGGGUGGUUGCCGUAUACACAUGUUCUGAUAGACC